This 94-nucleotide transfer RNA is filed under the name Variovorax boronicumulans. Its description in RNAcentral is "tRNA-Arg". The record is from RNAcentral. Lineage: Bacteria; Pseudomonadati; Pseudomonadota; Betaproteobacteria; Burkholderiales; Comamonadaceae.
CGCCGCGUGGAACGGCGGCUGGUACACCGCGCCGCCGACGCGCGGGCUGCGCGCGGUGGGCCGCGUGUACGCGGGCUGGGGCCUGUCGCAGCCC